Molecule: ribosomal RNA, 301 nt
Filed under: Synechococcus sp. RCC307
Lineage: Bacteria; Bacillati; Cyanobacteriota; Cyanophyceae; Synechococcales; Synechococcaceae
Description: partial 16S ribosomal RNA
Rfam family: Bacterial small subunit ribosomal RNA
Source: RNAcentral
ACCAAAGGGCCAGCCAAAGUUUUCGCGAGGGACAGCAAUCCCAUAAACCGUGGCUCAGUUCAGAUCGUAGGCUGCAACUCGCCUACGUGAAGGAGGAAUCGCUAGUAAUCGCAGGUCAGCAUACUGCGGUGAAUACGUUCCCGGGCCUUGUACACACCGCCCGUCACACCAUGGAAGUUGGCCACGCCCGAAGUCGUUACUCCAACCCUCUGGGAGGAGGACGCCGAAGGUGGGGCUGAUGACUGGGGUGAAGUCGUAACAAGGUAGCCGUACCGGAAGGUGCGGCUGGAUCACCUCCUAA